RNAcentral lists this ribosomal RNA (751 nucleotides) under Shigizo rhombiformis. RNAcentral's name for it is "eukaryotic LSU rRNA". It matches the Rfam family "Eukaryotic large subunit ribosomal RNA", at positions 63 to 619 of the family's 3401-position model. The record is from RNAcentral. Lineage: Eukaryota; Metazoa; Arthropoda; Insecta; Coleoptera; Curculionidae.
AACUAACUAGGAUUCCCUCAGUAGCUGCGAGCGAACAGGGAUAAGCCCAGCACCGAAUCCCGCGGCCGAUACCGGACGCCGGGAAAUGUGGUGUUCGGGAGGGUCCAUUAUCCCGAGGUUAUGCGACGCGUCCAAGUCCUUCUUGAACGGGGCCACAGCCCAUAGAGGGUGCCAGGCCCGUAGUGACCGUCGCUGAUCGCGGGAGGAUCUCUCCUCAGAGUCGGGUUGCUUGAGAGUGCAGCCCUAAGUGGGUGGUAAACUCCAUCUAAGGCUAAAUAUGACCACGAGACCGAUAGCGAACAAGUACCGUGAGGGAAAGUUGAAAAGCACUUUGAAGAGAGAGUUCAAGAGUACGUGAAACCGUUUAGGGGUAAACCUGAGAAACCCGAAAGGUCGAAGGGAGAAAUUCAUUCGCGUUUCGACGCAGGCGCCGUGCGGUCGCGUGACGGAAAACGUUCGCGUUUUCCGCGCCCUCCGCGCGUGCGGCGGCGAACGCGUGCACUUUUCUCCUGGUAGGACGUCGCGAUCCGUUGGGUGUCGGUCUACGGCUUGCGGUGGAGCCCGGUCGUCGUCUUUACGACGUACGAACGGACCCGCAUGUCCCGGCCGACUCGCUCGACGGUAUACGAAAGGUUUAAGGCCGCUCUCGGAGCGUUCGGCUCGCUGCAAGCGCGCCAGAUGUGUCGGCGAUCGGACCUAGUGCCGGUUCUGACCUCUGGUGACUGUUGGCCGCGAUGUUCUCGAACAGACC